This 40944-nucleotide long non-coding RNA is filed under the name Arabidopsis lyrata. Its description in RNAcentral is "long non-coding RNA (ALYR_LNC002596)". The record is from RNAcentral. Lineage: Eukaryota; Viridiplantae; Streptophyta; Magnoliopsida; Brassicales; Brassicaceae.
AUCUCCUCUAAUUACAAGAAAGUUUCCCCCUUGAUAAGGUGUUAAGGCCAAAAUACAACAAUACAAGUAAAAUUGAAACAUGACACAUCCACAAUUAAAUUCCAGUAGAGAGAUGAGGCCAAGACAUGACUUCUCAGUUGUGAUCCUUCUUCCUGUUAAGCUAUAGAGAUGAAGUAUUACCAAAUCAAGAACAAAGAAUGUGAGUUCCUAGAUGUGGUCGAAACCAAAUCUGUCUUUCCACAAGCAAAAAUUCUUUCUAAACCAUUUACCAUGAUGAGACAUAUUGCUGCUUGUUGUUGUUAUUCAGAUAUCAAGAAAAUGACUAUGAAAUGACUAAGUUGGUAAGAUUUUAACAAGGUUCAUAGAUGUCAUGGAGGAGCAUAUAAAAUCUCUAACACUACAACAACACCAGCCUCCUACUAGGCAAAUAACAAUAGCAAACUCAUGAGGCUUCAGCAGUUUAUCAUUCACUCACUUGUUCAAAGCUAAAAAUAACUUUGAUCAGGCAAUGUAGGCAAAGAUAUGAAACAUCAUCACCAGCCUCUCAUCAUCAAUAUCCAAAAACAAUUCUUUAAGAAGACAACACUAAAGGCCUCAGAAAUUACAUUUUGUAAAAAGUUAUAUCAUUAGUUUAUCAGACAAUGUAGGCAAAAAAUUUGAAUCAUCAUAGGCCUUAAAGAGAGAGUCAGGAAAAACAAAACGCAAAGAGCCUCAGACUAAUUAAAGAAUUCAUUUCAGAGGCAAAUCAAACAAUGUAGACAAUCUUUUUCAAUCAUCACUGGCUCUUUAUCUAAACCCAGUUCACAAAGGUUAUGACUUUGCAAAGCACAAAGAGAAGAAGAUAAAAAUCACAACUUUACUUAAUUCAAUGAAUUGAAUUCGAUCAAUUAAAACAAAAGUACGAAGCUUUUGAUGGUAAUAAUGAAAACUGAAUCGCUCACUGGCUUCUCUCGUUCAUAGAAGAUCGAUCAUGAGCCCUGAAUCUUUUUCUCACCGCCACCAAGAGGAGUUUUUAUCUUCUUUCCUCUGAAACCCUAGCAUCGUUUUAUAUUGCAACUUUUUGCGUUAUGCGUUGGGAAGGGCCCAUAUAUCGGCCCAUCAAAGCUCAACCGAAUUUCAAAUUGGAAAAGGCCCAUAUACCGGCCCAUUAAAACUCUUAAAACUUUUUUUUUUUUUUUUUUGGUGAGUUACUCAACUUUUAUUAAACAGUCAUUAAAAAAAAAAACCACAAGCUUUUCAUUAUUCUUUUUGCUUUUUUUCCCUUUUGUUCAAAUUAAAAAAUCUGGGGUUCCUGUUAAAUGCAAAGAAAAAAAGGAAAAAGGAAAAAGCUGGGGUUCAUGCAGGCUCUUAUCUUUAAAUUAAAGCUGAAAUUUGAAAGAUUAGUUUUUAGUAUUCUCCAAUAAAUUCUUCUUUUCUUCAAAAUGAUUGAUAAAAAGAAUCUGUAAAUUCUUGCAUCAUAAUUAGUUAGUAGAUCUCAUAUCCAUAUUAAAGAAGAUGUGUUGACAUCCUCCAACAAAUCCAAGGAGGAGAAAAGAAUGAAGAAACCAACAAUUAAGAAAGACUUAGAGAUGAAACCCAUAAAAGUAGGAAGACAAAACUUAAUAUGAGAGUUUUAAAAAAUAAAACAAAGACAAAGAGAGAGAUAAUUUGGGAGAUGUAAUGGAAGAAGGCCAAGAAUGAAGAAUCCUAACGACGAAGGUUCUUGACUUUGGACCAACCCUUCUUACAAGAUUUGCCGACAACUUUGAUGCCUUUCUUGAAGAGAUGUUUCAGCUCCAACGCCCUCAUCUUCACCUGAUCCUCAAAUGCUCCCAUCUUCUUCUUUCUUUCUUUCUUUCUUGGAUUCUCCUCUCUUCUCUCGGAGGUGAGAGAUGUGUUAUAAGUUUUGUUUGUGUCCUCGUCUCUCUCUCUAUGUAAUAUACAAGGGAUUUAUAUAAAUAUAAAUAGCUGUGAAAUGUUAUUAAUAGACUAAUUGGAUCAUUACACCUAAGCUAAGCUAUCUCUGCUGUUUUAUGCUUCCUAAAAUUCUUUUUCUAAUUUUGCCAUUGCUUUUAUUAAAAUAAACAUCUAUUUUUUUUUUUCUAUGUUGAAAAUUUGAACAAAAUAACUAAGUGGCAUUAGCUCAACCGGUAAAAAUCCUAAGCGAAUCUUAGAGGUCGCCGGUUCGACUGAUGCUUGGGACAAAACUAAUAUUACAAAAUGUGGUUUCGGGUCUGGGGGAUUACGGACUUUGGUCCGGAACCUCUGAACAAAAUAAAUGGUUUUUGCCAGUUAAAUGAAUCAUCUUAUGCGUGGAUCCAGAAUGGGUUUUGUACACGUGGUAAAAGAAGGACCGUUGGAUGUUUGCGAUGAAAAUUGCCAGCUUUGUAAUUCUCAACACGAAGUGGACCACCUUACUGGUUGGUGCUACCUUAUCCCACCCAUUAACAAGUCUUGAUUUUGGAUAUUACAUGUCAGAACUCUUGAAUAAACUAACCCGUGACAUACUUGGAAAUUGGAAUAAAGCAUAACCUUUUUCUUGUUAAUUAAACUCUUCUUACCUUCUGUUUUGUUGUUUUAGUCAACACACUUUCUCUUUCAUAAAGACUCUUUCUCUAAAGCUUUGAAGUAACAGAUCAGCUAUGGUUUUACACACUGUUUAUUCGCUGUCUUGUCUUAACAAAGAAAGAUUCGUUGGAACCAUUAUCCUUCUCAGUUACGUCGUUGCUAAAGAAUAGCGUAAGGAGAAGUGUCAAGGACUCAAGGCAUUAUAUAUACAAGGAGUGGACGAGCACUGACGUAGUCGUUGGUUUAAUUUCUUUGUUUAUUGCUGUAAUGUGCAAAAAUCUAUUGGUAUCGACGUAAAUGAGUUAUCAGAUAAUAGCUCUUAUCAACCAUUUUUUUUUUUUGUUAAAAGUUUUUCAAUACUUUCUUCAAAACACAAUUCACUUUCUCGGUUUCUCCUCCCAUACAUUAUGCUUUGAACACAAUUCUUUUAUUUAUCUAUACUAGUAUUUUCGCAACACUUUGCCACUUUGGUGACGGAUGGAUAAAAAUGCUUCUGGGUUAAUCGGAUAUCCGACCCGUUUUUUAAAUUCCUUAACAAAAAAAAUUGUUGGGUCGGGUUAUAUUUAACCCAACUUAUACAGCGGAUAUUCCAUAUUUAAUCAUUUAGAUAUUUAGAAGAUUUGUUUGAUUUGUUUUUAACUGUUUUGAAUCAUCAUUGUAUAAUACAUAAAGUAAAAAAAAUUAAAUUUUUUUCUGCAUAUACUGUGAUUCGAAAUUUAAAAAACGGACAUAUAUUAUCCAAUUGACCAAAAUGUGUGUUCAACGUUCUAUAUCGAUUAAAAUAUUUAGACAAUGAUUCAGAAUCAUAUCAUAAAUAAGAUCAACAAUAAUAAAAUAAAUGAGUUUUUUGGCGGGACGGGUUUUUGAAUCAACAAUAAUAAAAAGAUUAAAUAUCAUUAAUCUGUCGUUUCAAUACGGAUUAAAUCCUUUUGUUUUUUUAAUACCACCAAUAUUAGACAUAUUAAAUCAGUCUCAUUUAGAAAAGAUUGUAUAAAACCAAAAACUGUCCCGUGGUAUAAUGUUACUUAAUAAAAAUAUUUUAAAAUUUUAAAAUAUCAUUAACAUGCCGUUUUAAUACAUAUUAAAUCUUCAGUUUAUUAAAAUAUAAAUGUCUUAGAGAAUGAUAUGAUUUAUAAACUUUUAUAUAUAAUAAAUAAUUAUUAAAUUUUAAAAUAAAAACAAAUCAUGGAACGGGUUAAGAAAUUACGGAACGUGUUAUAUUUCGGAAAAGAUUUAUAUGGCGGACGAAUUUGAAUCAAUAUUUAUAUACCGUUUUAAUACGGGUUAAAUCCUCAGUUUAUUAAUAAUUGUUUCGUGGACUUGUGGUAUACCGUUACUUAAUAACAAUUGUAAACUAUAAUAUAAAUAAAUAUGUUAUAAGGAGAUACAAUUUACAAAAUAUUUUUAUACUAACUUUAAAAUUAAAUCAUCCCGCGGUGUUCCGCGCGUUAAAAUCUAGUAUGGGUUAAAAAUUCAAUCCAAACUCUUAAAAUAUUAGAUAUAUAUCCAUUUUGACACCCUUAAGUAUAACUUAUGAUGACAAAAAAAAAGUGAAAUUUUUUAGGGGUGUGCAAAAAAAACUUUUACCCAAAAAAACCCGACCAGUAAUUAGGUAAUUCAGUCUGGUUUCGGUUUCUUCCAAAUACCCGUUCGGUUAUAAUUAUUAAUAAUUUACUUUGGUUCGGUUCAGUUUAAAACCAUAAAACAGUUUGGUUUUUUGGGUUUCUACUUUUUUUUUUUUAAUUAUAAUAUCACUUGUUUGGUUAGCGUUCUAAUAUUUUUUCCAAUAUUGAUUUCCUCUUCCUUGUGAAUUGUGAUAUAAGCUACAUAUAUAAAUUUUCUCAAUCUAAUGAUAUUUAUUUAGAAACUUAUAUUAAUACAUGUUGGAGAAGAAAAAAUAAAACUCUUUGAAAGAUGAUAUAGUUCAUAAUAAUAUUAUGUUUAACAUUUAGGUUAUACAAAUAUGUUAAACUAGAUUCACUUCAUAGAUUAAAAUCAAAGAUGAUAUAAUUCAAAAAAAAAAAAAUGUUAUUUUCAUUUUGAAAAAUCAUGGAAUAAAAGAAAAAUAACUGAAACCGAAUGAAAUUGCAUAUGGUUUUCUAAACAUUUUCAUUUUUAUAAAAGAAAAUAAAUCGUAAACCCGAUAAAACAAGCCGUAACCAAACUGAGAAUUGAUAAAUUGAUAAACCCAAAAAAAAAAACUAAAUAUCAAUUUUUAUAGCUCACCACGAGUGUUUGUUGGUUUGCUAUAUGUAAUUUAUGCGUCUUCUUUUUUUGUUGUUGUUAGGGCUUUACAGAAAUUAAGGGGUCUGUUGGGCUGUGGCCUGUGGGAAUUCGGUGAUAAGAAUUUUGUGAGAGGUCGACCUGAGCUUAUGGAGGAGAUGCAUAAAAGAAUUUCGUUUGAUGGGUUUCUGAGAAGGGCUAAAGAAAGGAAAGCUCGAGAGGAUGUGAAGGUGAAGGACGGCUUCCAAAAUUUAAGAAUUUGAUCUUGAAUCAUCAUCAUCUUUAACAAUGCUUGGAACAAGUGUAGUGGUUUAUAGUUUAUACGUUGUCUUGUCUUUAAACAAAGAAGAGAUUUUUUUUUUUUUUGAAUAACCGCGGGUCUCCCAAAGGCUUCCUAGGCCCAAGGACUAAUCCCACGAGGCUGGCAAUUCCCCUAUGUAAACCUGCCAGUGGCCGUGCCUUGAACCCUGGUGGGAAAGUUUUCCUUGUCAUCUGAACGUGGCUAAGAGAGGAGUGUUAAGGCAUUGUACAAUGAGUGGACGAGCACUGACGAGGCCAAGUUCCCUGACCAGAUGUAACAUGAACCGAUAACGCACCCUAUCCCAAACAGCUGCACAAAAUCCUGACCUGAGAAGUGAGCUGCUGCAAAUACUCCUGAGCUGAUCACUAGUGCCUUCCACCAUUCCAUUCUCGACGCUAAGGAGGUCAGUAGAAAGCGUCUGUACACUAUCUCCUCAAGGAUGGGAGCUACUACGCAGUAGAGAGCAAAACACCCGCUUCUCGCCACUUCCCCGCUCACCAAUAUCUUCUCCAAUUCUGAUUCAUGUACAGCCUGAGAUCAAACAGCAUUGUUUCUGCUAUGUUAAUCAUCGUAGGAGAGAAUGGUGUACUAGAUCAGGAGGCAAUUGGGGAGACCUUAGAGCCAAAGAGUUGAUCAGCUACAAGCGACGUGACGAAGAUAAAGCCCACAAGACAUCCCAAACCCAAUGCUGAGCCAACCACCCAGUUUCUUUCUUCCCUUGAUUCAUUAUUACCCUUUAGAAAGUUGAUUGAUUUGCACUGAGGCUUCGCUGUGGUCCUCAGCAGCAAGACUGUCCCUGAAAGUUCUACCAUUUGGAGAACCACAAGUGAUAGCACCUGUAAAUUGUAACCACAGCAUGAAUUUCAACAAGAAAAAUCAACUGCAGAAUCAAAAUGACAGAGACUGGGUUUCACCACUCUUAACAAGCAACCAAAUGCAUCUCACAUAGGUAGAAAACUAAACUGCCCUUUGCUCAUCUCUAAAGUGUACAAUUCAACAAGAUAUUGAACAGUCUUCUCGAACAAAAGGAAAGGAGACUCACUUGGGUCUGAGGAUCAAGAACCUGCCGGUGGAGUAUGUUGGCAACAAUGGAUAAACCCCCAAAACUGAGAGGAAUAUGCAGAGAGAACAUGUAAAGAGCAAAUGUGCUCCAUAUGUUAUUAUCUUCCCAUGGAAUCUCUGAUGCCAAAACCGAGAACCCAUCUUCAUUCCCCAACUUCUCAAUCUAUAAAGCACCGGACUUGGACUUAGAAUUACCAUCAAAAUCAAAACUAAUUAUAAAAAAGGAAACUUUAUCCUAAUCUGAAACGAAGACAUCUCAUGUAAUGACUCAAUGAAAGGAAGGAGACGUACCUGAGUAGUUUCUUGUGUGGAUUUGCUUUUGAGACAAGAGCAUCUGAGAGAAGGACGACAAGUGGUAGUAGAGGAGAGACCACGAAACUCCGAAUGUCUUCGUCGGUCGGAAACCUUAGUAACCGGCGUGUUGACGCAACUGAAGGAAACCCAUCGGCCUAGAAUCAUCGCCGUCUCUGACCAGAGAGUCUCAUAGAGCCAAGCCACUUCAACUUUCAAGUUACCAUGGAGAGACCAAUUCAAUUCAAUUCUUGUGGUAAUCCAAAAGAAUUGUUUUUUCUUUUUUUGGCAUCAAGUGUGUUUUUUUUUUUUGUCAAUAGAUAUCUUCUUAGCUCAAAAAAGGAAAAAAAAAGAUAAUCUUUUUUCAUAAGAAAGGAGAAAACAUCUGGAGCUGACAGGAUUCACAAAAAAGAUCAUUUCUUUUUCGAUUUCUCUUCCUCCUAGACCCAACCGACGAAGAGAAUUUGAUUUGUUGUUGGUUGUGUCUGGUCUCUUCGUCUAGGGUUUUUGGGUGAUUAAAGAUGGUGAGGAUCGUGAGAAGUUGUUUACAGUCCAUGUUAAAGCUUGUGAAUUCUCUAAUUGGGAUGGUUGGGAUUGCUAUGAUUCUCUACGCUGUUUGGCUGAUUAGGCAAUGGCAAGAACAAAUGGGAAAUCUUCCCUUUGCUGAUUCUGAUCACCCUGUUCCAUGGUAUGUCAAAGUUUCCAUCUUUUUAUGUGUUUGAUCACUUUCUGGCUAUUUGGGCGUUUGUAUCUUUGUUUAGAAUCUAUGAGUGGUUUGAGAAUGGUACUGAACAAAAUAGGCAGGGACAAGAUCAUAGAUUCUGUUAGCUUGAGGUGUGUGGAAGCUAGAAGCUGUUAGGCUAUGGAAGAGAGAGUUUUAGGAUUCUUGUAAGAUUUGAUGGCACUGCAAAUGAGUGUCACAUCUUGUUGGGGAGGAGCUAUCUUUGUUUUCGUAGAAAGAUCGUAAAUUCUGUAAGCUUGAGGUGUCUAGAAGUUGUUAGGCUAUGGAAGAGAUAGCUUCAGGAUUCUUGUAAGAUGGCACUGGAAGGGAGUGACAUAUCUUGUAUCUGUGUGAGGGGGAAGUUAUUAUUGUUGUUAAUUGUUAUGAAGUUUGCCAUUGCUGAUGAAAAUUGCUGAACCAAUCUUCUUAUGAGCUUCAGGUUCAUUUAUUCAUUUCUCGGUCUCGGGGCCAUUCUCUGUGUUGUCACUUGCGCCGGGCACAUAGCUGCUGAAACUGUGAAUGGAUGUUGCCUUUACUUGGUAAACUUCUUUUCUUUUUUUUUAUAAGUUGUUCCUGCAACUCUAUAUAUUGACGGAUUGUAGCAUCAUCUACCGAUCUACGUUAGCCUGUUUUUCUUUGGUAGUUUUAUUGUUCCUUCCUGAAUUCAUUCUUGUGUUUCUUUUCUAUGUGAAUAAUGCAUCUGUUUAUUGGCACAUCGACUGGGUUCAGUAUAUGGGAUUCAUUGUCUUGCUAGUUAUGGUUGAAGGCGGUGUGGUUGCUGAUAUCUUUCUAAACCGUGACUGGAAAAAGGUAUAGUUUCUAUAUAUCUUUUCUUUUGAAAAAUCUUGGGAGGCUCUCUAUUGUCACGCCCAUGAUCCUAAUCUUUUAGAAGCUUUCACCAGGACUUUCCAGAGGAUCCAAGUGGUGCUUUCCACCAGUUCUCUAAGUUCAUCGAGUCAAACUUCAAGAUUUGCAAGUGGAUAGGUCUCUCUAUUGUCUGUGUCCAGGUAUCUUAAUUGAUAGCAACAAAAAUCUCUACUUUAAGAUGCUUCUAAAUUGUUUGGUUUCAAUGUUUCACAGCGUUCUCUUUGUUUAUUGGCAGGGUCUAUCAGUUUUAUUAGCCAUGUUGCUCAAAGCUCUUGGACCUCACCCUUACCGUCAUUACGACAGUGACGAUGAAUACAAUGUAAGCACAGUUGCACUCCUGCAGGAUGGUCGUCAGCUGCCUCCAUAUGUUGUUGGAGAACCCAUGUAUGGAGCCAAACCGGGAGCUUGGACAGUUAGGAUUAAUGAAAGGGCGAACCGGUGAGAGGUGCAAACCAAGAAGCUCGUAGAAGAAAAAUGGGAAAGAGUCUGCUAUUUCGAUGUGUGCAUUUACUUUGGCUUCUUGUUGCAUCUCUUUCUUUCACUAUUAUCUCUUGGAAAUCUUGAAUACACAUAUACGUAUUGGGAUGUUCUUACAUUUAAAACAUUAUGUGAUGAAUGUAAAUCUCUCUCCACUCUUUUGCUGAUCUAACCAAGAUUUAUAUCCUGCAGGCUAGUCAUAUCUUGGUCGGAUCGGAAUUUGUCUUAUUUACAUAUCAAAAAUCUCAAAACUCGAAUACAAUUUAAUUAUUAACCAACUAUAGAGCAAUCACUGAUCAUCGUUGUUAAGAAUUCUUAUGGAGCUACUCGUUGUUAAAUUAAGCAAAUAAAAUAAUUGAAGACCAAUGGUAUUCGUAUUGGCUUAUGGGGCACAUGGGAAAAGAUUGGAUAAAGUCUCUUAUUGUGUAAGAAAAUAUGUGAAGGAAGGAAUUAAUUGAGAAUGUGAUGUGAUUAGUGAACUGUAAGAUUCCUAUAUGCACUGUUUUUAUUGAUACUCACUCAUCAUCUCAUCUCAUGUGACUUUAAUUGUAAUUUUCAUGAAUUACGUAAGAAUGACAUCUUUUUCUUGUUGUCAUUCUCAAUAAUACAAUUUGACUUUCUCACUUUUAGGCUUUUAGCUAAAGCAUUCUCAUUUGUAUAACUAUUCUCUGAUAUUUAUUUUUCUUAUUGAAGUUGUCAAUUGUAUAUUUCACUAGUCUUUGAUAAUGCACACAUGCCUACAUGUAUACCAGUAUUCAUGAUGGUUAUUAAGAAGUUCACUUAAAUAUCACAAGUUCAUCUCCAAUAUGCUGUUCUAUAUUUUAGUUACUUAGGUAUGUCAGAUUGUUACAAGUAUUCCCGUGGACUAUGACGAUAUAUUUGGAAAAAAUCGAUAAAUUCUUCGAUAGAUGGAUCGCUCUUUUCAGUUUAAAAUCGAGCUCGCCUUAAAAGGUUAUUGACCUUUGAACUGCAAGGUUUAAUUUGGGUCAUGCAAUGGUGGGAAACCAUGAUCGAUAUUGCUCUCAUUAUUUCACUGAUUCUAUGUAUUUGGUGUACAUGAUCUCGAAACCAAAUGAUUGGCUAGGUUUUGACUAAGAGCUUCGUGAAGUCGUCUCAAUUUAUACCAAACUCUCUGGCAAUCUACGAAUGUAGAAGUAGCAAUAGUCGACCAAACUUUCUAGCAAAAAAACUUGGAAUAUUAAUUUGUGUUCUCUUUUCUUAGCAAUUUUCUAUCCAUUUGGUUAAUUGCGAAUGUAGGAAACGUUUUUUAUUUUAAAAAUUCAGAAGUGAGAAAGAAUUAGGUACAAUAAUUAACAAGCUGCAUUCACCAUAUUUAAAUAAGAAAACAAUGUAAAUAAUCAUUUCUUAAGAUAAACUUUUGUAAACAUAUACAUAGUUACGUGUACGACUUACAUGUACAUCAAACUUUGUAAGCAUGAGUGUAAUUGACAAUAAAGAAAUACUAGAUAACAACCCGCACGAUGUGCAGGAUGAAGUGAUUUAAGUAAAAUUAUUAUGAUUAAAAUUAUUAUUCGGGAUCUAAGAUCCGUUUGUGUAAAACGAAACAUGUUACAAUUUUUUUUUGUUUUAUUCAAAUUUGGGACUAUUUCAUAUAAGAAUAUGUUUUAUCCGUGAAAUAUUUAAACUUUGAAUAAAGCUUCAACGUGAUAAAAAAGUAUUGACGAAAUGUUACCAUUUAUGGCAAUAUGUCUUUCCGUAUGUUUUAAAGAUUUUGAGAUUUUGUAGUAUAAAAAGAAAUUUUUUUUUUUUAAUAAGUAUAAGAAAUCCAAAAUUUAGCAAAGAUGAGAUUUGAUAGUUUCGAAGCUAAGAUUUUGUAGUGUUCCAAAUCUAAGAUUCUUAGAUUAUGAAUGGAUUAUUUACGAAAUAGUUAUAAUGUGGCCAGAUUUUGGUUUAUAUACAAAUGUGGUUAUAAUGUUUUUCUUCGAAAAGUUAGAACUCCUCCAAAAAAUAGGAUUUUAAGCAUUCGUAACAUAUAUAGAAAGGAGAUUAUUUUAUUUAUUUAAGUAAAAAAUUUAUGAAAGAUGUAAAGAUUUUGUAGUUUUGAAUUCGAGAUUCUUGAACCAAAUAUAUAUAUUUUAUCAUUUAAAUAUAAACAUAAAUAUAAAUAUAAAUAAAAAGAUUGUUUACCCAUCCACUAAAGAAAAUUUAUAUAAAUGUAUAUAAAGAAAUAUAUAAAUAUAUAAAUAUAGUAAUAUAAGAUAAACAAAAAGUGUAUGUUUUUAAUUAUUAAUGGGAUAUAUGGAUGUAUGAGACUAAUGACAAAUUCUGUAAAUAGUCUAAUAAAUCUUGGAUAAUUAUCUAAAUAGAGGUCAAAUCAUUGCGAGAGCGACACAUCAGCGUGGCAAUCUUGUUAAUAACACAUGAUGGUAAGGUUUUUUUUAAAAAAUGUUUCUCUAUUAAUAUAUAGGGGAUUUCCUUCUGAAUUUGUAUCUAAAAAUUUUACUUUUUCAAAUAAAUAAAUAAAUAAAUAAUUUUCUUGUAAGCUUCUUUUAGAAAGAUAAUAAAGUAUAACAAGGGUCGAAUAAAUCUUAAGGAAUAAGGAUUGUGACGGAGUCAUGUGCGGUCUGCCAAAAUUAUAUUAAAAAAAAAACCUUUAAUAUUGCAACAAUAUUAGGUUUUUAAAACUUUUUCUUGUUCUCUUUUUCCACAAAAACAAAACAAAAUGCACUAAGCUAUGGUUGGUUGUUGACUUAAAUAAAUACGAAAUUCAGAAACAGUUAAAAGAAUAAUAGUAUCUUCGAGUGUUGAAAUGAUUUAUGCGCUGUGAGCAAGACACUGGCCAUCAAGAUUCCGUAUUUCCAAAUCUUAUCAUAUAAAGAUCAGAUACACUUUUAUUAAAUCUUAUUUUAUCUAGUUUGUGUUGUUUUCCAUGAGCAAAAAAUGUGGUCUUAUAUUGUUAAUCUUUCAAAGAAAAAUAGUUCAAACAUAUUUUAUUAAAAAAAUAUCGAAUAAAAUUAAUUUUCAAUUUUGGGACAAAAAUACAUUAACAAUUAAAAUGUUAUUUAAAUCUCCAAAUUUUGAUUGACCUCUUAGUAAAAUAGUUACAUUUCAUUUAUUUGACCACAUUAGGAAUGUCGUUAAGUUUCCAAUAGAAAUAAAGUCAAUAUGGGAGUGGAAGAAGAUCAUCUCUAAAAAAUGUUUAAGCUGGUCAGUAGAGUGUAGACUUUUAAACCACAAAAAGGCUAGAUUGGGCCUAGGUAAUCCAUCUUUUUUUCAUAACCGCCUCAGUCUCCGAUAGGGUUCGAACUGUCUCUCGUUCUGGUGGAAUCGUAACGGAAACUUAACGUCAUGUCUAAUCCGGCCAAGUUUACGAAACUUAACUAUAUUACUAAGAGGCCGACUAAAAUUUUGGACUUUAAAUAACAUUUGAAAGGCGAUGUUUUUUUGUCCCAAAUUUGAAAAUUGAUGUUUUUUCGACAUUUUUCCAUAUUUUAUUAGUUAAAUUAAAAUUUUUUUGAAGAUUAUGACGUCAAAAUAAAUUGGUAACUCGUGAAUUGACUAAAAAAUCCAUUUACAAUUUUUUUCUAUUUUAUUCCAUAUACAAAUACCAAAGAAAUCCAACAUAAUUCACUUUUGCUACUCUUAAAUUGUGAGGUCAUAUAUCCUCACAUCUUCAAAUAAUCCACAUAUUCUACCAAUAAGAAGAAGAAAAAAAACUUGUUGAUGUCUCUAGUUCAUAUUGAAACAAACACAACAUAUGUUUUGGUUGGUAACAUUUAUCAAUCGGCACAAGGUUUACAACUCUAAUCAUUGUCAUAUAUUGUUUUGUACCGCUUUUCUUUACGUUAGAUUUGACUGGUUUAUUUCACCAAUCGAAUCCACAAGGAUAACCAAUAACAAUGUUAAACAAGAGGCCAUGGUCAUAGUAUUACAUCAUAUAGUCAUAAGCAAAAAAAAAAAAAAGAGAGAAAGAAAGAACAAGUGUAAGAGUAACGGAAGAAUCUUGUCCCAACCAACAUUGGCUUCAAAAUAAAAACGAUGGAAUCUUAUAAUUGCAUAAACACACACACACCCCUUACCCUACGGGAUCGUGCUACAUCAAGCCCCUAACUGUCAGUAGGUCCCAUCCCCCUCAAAAAUGGCACACUUCGUAAAUAAGAAGAAUGAGUCAAGGACAUAAUCGUCAUUUUCUAAUUUGAUGCAAAAGACUUAACCAUAAACCAUUCCUCCUAGCUUCUUCCCUCUCUAUUUAACCAACUAACCAACAAUUCUUCCACUCUCACUUCUCCACUUUUUUUUUGGUUUUUUUUUGGCUUGUCUCUCCGGUCAAAAUGCAGCUCUUUCCGGUCAUCCUACCGACACUAUGCCUCUUCCUCCACCUUCUAGGAGGCGGCUCUGGCUCUACUCCAUCGUUGACUCACUCCAGUCAACAAGUGGCAGUCACCCGUUGGCUUCCCGCAACUGCCACCUGGUACGGAAGUCCCGAGGGCGACGGCAGCAGUGGUAAACAUUUCUUUACAUAAUAUCCACAACAAUUGAUUUACUUUUUACAGUAACAAAGUCAAAAGUUUACUGCGAAAUCAAUAACAAUGCAAGGGCUUAUUAAUGAAACCGCAGGAGGAGCUUGUGGUUACGGGUCACUAGUGGACGUGAAGCCGUUUAAGGCAAGAGUUGGAGCGGUGAGUCCGAUUCUGUUCAAGGGUGGUGAAGGCUGCGGUGCAUGUUACAAAGUCAGGUGUCUCGACAAGACCAUUUGCUCUAAGAGAGCAGUCACCAUUAUUGUCACCGACCAGUCACCGUCGGGACCAUCUGCUAAAGCAAACCACACUCACUUCGACCUUAGCGGUGCCGCCUUUGGACAUAUGGCUAUUCCCGGCCAUAACGGUGUCAUCCGCAACCGUGGCUUAUUAAACAUCCGCUACGGCCGGUACCUCUUGGCGCUCUAAAUAACCAACUUAUUAUUUUAUUUAACGAACAAAUGAGUAAAUGGUUUUUUCUUACAUUGGGAGGACUAAACAAACAACUAAAGAAGCUUUAACGGCGUUCUUGUCUUUUAUUGAUGGUCCCGUAUUUUGACCUUUGACUACACAACACACACCUAUGGAUCUCUGACACACACCUACACUUGUUUGUUUUUGUUUUGUAAAACAGAACGGCAUGCAAAUACAAAGGGAAGAACAUAGCCUUCCAUGUGAAUGCAGGAUCAACAGAUUAUUGGUUAUCUCUUCUCAUUGAGUAUGAAGACGGUGAAGGAGACAUUGGCUCUAUGCACAUUCGUCAAGUAAUAUUUCUCAUUACUCUCUCCUACAUUUUCUUUAAAAUGUUUACUUAAUUUUACUUCUUUUGUGUGUUGAAUUAUGAAGGCGGGGUCUAAGGAGUGGAUAUCAAUGAAGCACAUAUGGGGAGCAAACUGGUGCAUUGUCGAAGGACCACUCAAGGGACCAUUCUCUGUGAAGCUUACAACUUUGUCCAACAACAAGACACUCUCUGCCGCCGACGUCAUCCCCAGUAACUGGGUUCCCAAAGCUACUUACACCUCCCGCCUCAACUUCUCCCCUGUUCUCUAAUUAACCACUCUUCGUUUUUUUUUGUUGUGGGAGAGAGUAACACGGAGAGGACAAUGAGUGAGCCAUCUCCAAAGUUAGGGGAAGAAGAGCUUGCAAUGUGUGUGUGACUACUAACUUUUUAUGUUGUCCAUUUUCAUUUUUUUUCCUUGUCCAUAGGGAUGUGUGUAUCAAUCAUCUAUAAUCUUGUUUGUGGGACAUUACUAUAUAUAAGAAGAGAAUUUACAAAAGAUGUAAUAAUGUGCAAAAUCUCAUUCCUUUUUUCAUCCAACUCUUUUGCCAGCCCCUCACAACUAGGCGACUCUUGCAAAAUAAUAAUACCUCAAAUUAAUGUGUUUACAUCAUUCACUUUCUAACAUGUUCCUACUUACAUUAUACAAUACAUUGUGUGCCUGGAAAGAGACGAAACAACUGGACCAGACCACCACGUGCCCCAUUAUCAAGUCACUACGAAAAUAAUGUAUAGAUGGUUCACAUGCCAUGACACUACUCAACUACCUUAUGCCCACAUCAUACAAUCAAAUGAUUCAUCCAACAACCUUUACUUCUCAAGUCUUAAUAAAUGUGCACAUAAGUAUAAAAUACGUGGAAACAAAAUGAUUUAAGGUGAUCAUCCAAGACAAAAACCAAAUUUUGCAGAAGAAAUAUAAUGGUAAUAAAAAAUAAUAAACCAAAACAAAAGGACUAAAAAUUCUCUCUCCAGAAGAGGAAAUGGUGUGCUCACAGACAUCGCCCAAAAGAGCUUCAAUGUGCACAUUACUUACCUCUUCUUAUUUCCCCCGCAGCUAUUGUGACUUCAAUAUCAAAUAAUCCCCCAUCAGUAAUACUAAAGACCCUUCACUCUGCCUUGGCUCCCUCGGCCUCAGUCACAGCUACAGGUUUCUCUCCCUCUCCCGAGGCAGCAGCAUCAGGUUUCGCUGUUUCAACACUUGCAUCUUUGGCAGGUGAAGCAGGUUUUUCCUCUGUCACCUUUGGAUCUGCAGGUUUCCCAUCUUUUAAGUCCUUGGCGUCUUUCCCAGCUUUUGCAUCUUUGCCAUCUUUGGCAUCCUUCCCAUCUUUGGCAUCUUUGGCUGGAGGAGGAGGCGGCAUCAUGUGAGGUGGGGGAUUUGUCUUAAGCUUCAAGAAUAUCUGUCUCAUUCUCCCUAGAUCAGUUGGCUUCCCAGGUUUAGGACCCUGGAUAACAUUCACUGAUGGUUUCUUGUCCGGAUCCUUUUUCCCUCUCUUCUUCUCGAUGUUGGGAACCUCACGAGGGAUUAGCUCUGCAAUUGCUUUCCAGUAAUGCUUGUCAACUUCUUUGUGGAACUUCUCUUGGUUAGCCCAGUAUAGCUGCAAGAGAGGCAAAUAUCACACAAGUUUCCAAUACACCCAAAAAUCUCAAAUGGCUGCGAUUGUGAAUUUUAUCACUACUUACCUUCUCCUUUUCGCGGUUAUCAGUCUUGUUGGUUUCAAUGGUCUUCUCUCUUUUCUCAUAGAAGGAUUUCUUGUAUUCUUCUGCUUCAGUUAUGAUCUGAUUCCGCAUCUCCUUCUCUUUCUUUUCCUUCUCCUCAAGGUGAAUGGUGUUCAGACUGCACCAAUGCGUGCCAAAAUAUCAGUUUCAUAUAUGUUGAACAAGAAAAGCAUGGUGGUUCCAGUCUAAUCUGAUACAUAAUUGACACACCAGAGAAGAAGAGGAUAGCUACAACACAUACAGGUUCUUUCUUAUUCCAAAUCAGAUCAUAGAGAUUCUUUCAUAUACAUAAAACAAAAAGCACGGUGGUUCCAUUCUAUCUGAUACAGAAUUGACACAUCACAGAAGAAGAUGAUAGCUACAACACAUACACUAUUCGGACUCUUUCCUAUUCCAGUACAGAUCACAGAGAUUCUUUCAAUAUAUGAUGAACCAAAAACCAUGGUGGUUCAAGUCUAAUCUGAUACAGAAUUGAGACAUCACAGAAGAAGAUUAUAGCUACAACACAUAUUCUACUCAGGUUCGUUCUUAUACCAAAUCAGAUUAUAGCUACAAUGACAACAAGGUCACAUUUUUCUAAUAGAUUCUCGAAUUUUGAAGAUCGCAUAAUCGAAUCGAAUCUUAAACGAUUGAAAUCCUAAGCUUUUCUACCUAAGAAGACACUAAGAUCUAGUAAUCUACCAAGUCAAAAGCUUGAGAUCUAGCCCUACUCCACAACAGGAAACGAAUUGAAAUGAACAACCGAGAAUCAGAACACUAACCGGCGCCACUCACGGCGUUGGAAACCCUCCUCCCGCAUCUCAUUUGGAUCUGGAAGAAUCGGACCAUCGGAAGCGAAGAUCGCAUCACCGCUUCCGUUAGCAUCGUUAACGGAAGAUUCAAAAGGCGAGGAAAAGUCAUGGUUAGGUGAGGAAGCACCAAAUCCAUAUCCGUUUGGGGAAGCAGGAUUCUCAGAUCCAUAAGCUCCAUCACCAUUGAAAGAAGAGAAUCCACCGGAUUGAUGUUGAGUCGGAGGUGGCUGGGCUUCGGAGAAAUUAUCGUAGCCACCAAAGUCAUCGUGUUCAGAUGGAGAAUGGGUUUGAGCUGGGAAAUCUCCGUCGUCAAAAGUCGCCAUGCUUUUUGCUUCUUUGAGAUUCGCAAGAAGAAGACUUUUGAUCGCUGUGUUUUUUGAUUCACAAGGAAGAGAAGAGAAGAGAAGAGAAGAGCCUUAAACGAUGUCGUUUUUUAGUUUGGCGUAGAUCUGAUGAUUUCAUUUUAAAAAGGCCACGUUGACUAAAAACGUGUAACCAACUCACCGAACCGGUCGUCUUAAACGCUGCGUUUAGUCCUUCUUCUAGAAAGAGACAACAAUGGCGGAUCGGUUCUUCGAUAACGUGAUGCCUGAUUUCGUGAAGGAGAAGGAAAGUGAAUCUGGAGGAGAUUCGCUUAGGAAUCUGCUCGCUAUGCCGUAUUCGUCUCUCUCGCAGCAGCUCAAGCGAUCCGCUUUGGAUCUCAAGGAAACCGUAAGCGCAAAUCUACUCUUCUUCCUUUCGAUUGAUUAGGUUACUCUGAAGUGGUGACUAAGUGUUGUUGUUUGUCUUUCUCAGGUAGUGAUGGAAACUUGGGGUUUUAGUGGGCAGACUGUUGAAGACUUCACUCUUUACUCUGGAACUCUUGGAGCUGCGUUUUUACUCUUUAGAGCUUAUCAAGUUACUGGAAACGUCAAUGAUCUUUCCCUUUGCUUGGAAAUCGUCAAAGCUUGUGAUGCUGCUUCUGCUUCCUCAGGGUACCUUCUUCUUCUUCUCCAUUGUCUAUAGAAACAAGUUGCUUUGAAUUGUUGGUGAAAAUAUGAGACUUUUUUUGGUAGGGAUGUUACUUUUCUCUGUGGCCGAGCUGGUGUUUGUGGUCUUGGCGCCGCUGCAGCUAAGCUUUCUGGUGAGGAGGAGUUGCUCAACUACUAUUUGGCGCAAUUUCGUCUGGUGUGCUUCUUCUCAGCUUUGUUCUUGGUACAUUUUUUUGUUUUUCUUGGUUCUGAGAUUGAAAUCUAUCAUUUUUAUAACAGAUAAGACUAUCUAGUGAUCUUCCUAACGAGCUCUUGUAUGGAAGAGUUGGUUAUCUAUGGGCUUGUUUGUUCAUCAACAAGUACAUUGGCAAAGAAACUUUGUCUUCAGAUACCAUUGUAAGUACAAUUCUUAGGAAGAUAGAGAUAUUGAUGAGUCUCGUUUAGUUUCUUAAUGAGUAAGACUCAGUGUGCAGCGGGAAGUUGCUCAGGAGAUUAUCAAGGACGGAAGAUCAAUGGCUAAGAAAGGAAGCUCACCGCUUAUGUUUGAAUGGUAUGGCAAACGGUACUGGGGUGCAGCACAUGGGCUUGCUGGUAUUAUGCACGUAUUGAUGGAUGUUCAGCUGAAGCCUGACGAGGCAGAGGAUGUGAAGGGAACCCUUAAGUAUAUGAUCAAGAAUCGGUUUCCAAGUGGAAAUUACCCUGCUAGUGAAGAGGAUAGGAGGAAAGAUGUCCUUGUGCAUUGGUGUCAUGGAGCUCCUGGGAUUGCUCUCACACUUGUGAAAGCUGCUGAGGUGACGAUGCCUUUUUUUAGUUAGAAUGUAUGUGUCUGUUUUUAAAUGCUUUCUAGACAUUAUUGAGAGAGAGAGUUGAUCUCUGGGAAAUGAAAACAAAACACACAGGUUUUUGGGGAGAGAGAGUUUCUGGAAGCGGGUGCAGCUGCAGCAGAGGUGGUUUGGAACCGUGGAUUGCUCAAGCGGGUGGGGAUCUGUCAUGGAAUAAGUGGGAAUGCAUAUGUUUUUCUCUCGCUUUACAGAGCUACGGGAAUGAGUGAGUAUCUGUACCGUGCAAAAGCCUUUGCCAGUUUUCUGCUUGAUAGAGGCCCCAAGUUACUCUCAAAAGGAGAAAUGCAUGGAGGUGAUAGUCCUUAUUCCUUGUUUGAAGGCGUUGCAGGCAUGGCCUAUCUCUACCUUGACAUGGUCGACCCAUCUCAAGCCAGGUUCCCAGGUUACGAGCUUUAAACUUCUAGAUCGAUAACAAUCUCCAUACUUUUGUCCAUCAAAUCCUUAUCUCUUGUUAUGGAGGAGGCACAAGGUAAGAGAGGGUGUGUGUAUGUGUGUGUUUAGUACUAGCAAAAUCUUGUUGUUGUUGUUUGACGGUGAAUCAGUUUGAGUUGAUAUCUAUUGGAACUCUCCGGAGAUCUGUCCGGAGAGCCUGUAACUUUAUGAUGUUAGAAGGAACACAAAGGUUCUGUCCUUUCUGUAUUGUCUUUUGAGUGAGUAUUGACAUAGUUUCUUCUCGAAACAAGGAAUAAAAAACAGAGCAUUUGCCUUCUUUGGAAUAUGCAUUGGGUCUAUACCAUCAUCAAACGCACUUACAAAAUCUGUCUUACGUUCUUUGGAUCUAAAACAAGAACAGAACACCAUUCUCUUCUGCCUCUUCUACUUUAACAUGUUCAAUUCUGCCCGUAGUAUAACACUCAAAACUCCUGUUCCUUGCGCACAAGACGCUCAGCAUCUCCAAGCUCAACUUCACCGUCUUUUCUUUCCAGCCCGCCCUGAAACAUCAACUCUAUCUGCUCCAGCGACUUCCCACUUGUCUCCGGGACUAGCGCAUACACGAAGAUAACCGAGAGUGCAGACACGAGGGAGAAAACGAAGAAGGUUCCUCCGACCGUUAUGGCACGUGACACAGAGAGGAAGGACAUGGCCACCAGACCGCUGCACACCCUGUUUCCGACCGCCCCAAGCGCUGAGGCCUGGGCUCUUAGCCGUAGUGGGAAGAUCUCUGAUGUCAAGACCCAGCAAACAGGUCCCAUCCCUAUAGAGAAGAAGGCAACAUUUCCACAAACAAAGAGAAGAGCCAAGGUUAUCCCAAGCGUUCCUUGGCCGAGGAAUGUGAGCGUGAAGCUUAGACAAAAGAGACACAGAGUCAUUCCAAUUGUGCUCACAUAAAGCAGCGGUUUCCGGCCAACACUAUCGAUCAGGAAGGUGGCAAAUAGUAUGAACACUGUUUUUGUAAUCCCAACAGCGACAGUUGCAGCGAGCAGUUUGGUCUCGUCUUGUAUCCCAGCCUCUUUCAGGAUCUCUGGACUAUAGUAGACUGUGGCGUCGAUUCCUGUGAUCUGCUGGAAACAUUGGAUCCCAAAUCCAACAAUCAGCAUUUUCCGUACAACAGGAGAUGGGCUUAGAAGCUCACGCCACACCGGCCUGUCCUCGCUGCCUUCUGUAUGUGCAGCCGCCAAUUGUAUCUCUGCAAGCCGCUCUUCCACUUCAUCAUCUCGUUCAUUUGUUUUCAUAAGCACCUCUCGUGCACUGUCCACUCGGCCUUUCAUCACCAGCCACCUCGGCGACUCAGGGAUCACACACAGCGCAAAUCCUAUGAACACCGAAGGAAGAAUCCCAACUGCAAGCAUGAUCCUCCAGCUGAUAUGCACGGAAAGCCCCGAGAAAGCGUAGUUCGAAACAUAGCCUAGCAAGAUCCCUAGAUUUAUGAAGAUCUCAGGGAACGAAGUGAAAAAUCCUCUGGCUACAGUAGGGGAUAUCUCGGCGAUGUAGACAGGAGCGAUCAUGACACCAAGUCCAAUCCCAAUGCCGGCUAAAGUUCUUCCGAUCAUCAAAACCUCGAAAGACGGAGCGACAGCCAUCACCGCAGCACCAGUCUGAAAGACGAGAGCAGCCAAGGCCAUGGUCCAUUUUCUACCGAUGGAGUCAGAGGUUCUGCCGCCGGCUAAGCUGCCGAAGAGUGAAAUAAUGCUGAGGCUACCAAUGAGCACUUCCGUCUGCACCUCCGUUAUUUUGAGAUCCUGCUGUAUGAACAACACCGCACCGCUCAUUACCCCAACAUCUGACAAAUACCAAAAACAGAGCACACACAGCUUUUCUAAGUCAACAAAGUAAAAGAAGAAGAGGAAGAAGAAGAAUCCGAUUAUAUGUGUAAAAACUAACCGUAGCCGAGAAGAACAUUGUUCAAGGAUGCAAAAAAAGCACAAGCCAUAACGUAUUUUCUGGUUCUACUGUUUCUAGCCUCUGCUUCACGAUGAUUCUCCGCGUCGGAGUCCAUUCUCUGAUACUUAUUCUUCUUAUUUCCGACAGAGACCGCCGGAAAACCCGAGCCACCGCCAUUUCCAACCUCCGGCAGAUUCAUCAUCUCCCUCCGCCGAGGCUUCAGACAGCAGACUCAGGUGGUGUCCGUUUUCGGAAAGAGAGAAUUCAGACAACGACUUGAGAAGUAAAGUCGUAGAUCUCGGAAGAAGGGCUUUAGAUGACCAGAUCUGAACCGGAGAGACUUGUUAAAAAUUUCAUCGUCUCUAUUUGACCAAAUUGGUGAAUUUUCUAAUGAGGUAAUCCAACUUGACUCCUUCCAUUGCCCACCUUUGUUUACAUAUUUAAGUCAUUAACAUUACGUUUCAAGAAAUAGAAUUACUUUUCCUACCAAAAAAAAAAGAAAUAGAAUUACUUUUAGAUUUUUUUUCUUAAAAGAGUAAAAAAAGCUGGAAAGAUAUUUAAGAACCUUAUUAAAUUAAGAUAAAUUAGAGUUUUCAAGGUAAUAAUAACAGCUCAUCUUUUAUAGCGUCAUUAGCACACUCUUAAAAGGCAUGAAAACAUUUAUUAAAUACUAAAUAAAUCAGGGUUUCAAAUUUGGACAGUUAAAACCUUUUUUUAUGAAAUAAAAUUGAAUUCACUUCCAAUGGCCGCUACCUAUGAAUGAGAUCUGUCGGUAGUUCUUCCAAGCUCAUUGGAACUACAGAGACUGUGUCAUUGACGUGGCACCAACUAUCUUUAAAUUGAUUGAUAUUUUUCUGCUAAUUUUGUAAUUUCGUAUAAUACAGACUUAAUAUUGCUGCAAAACUUGGAUUAUAAUCUCCUUAUGAGCUGGAUAUACUAUAUCUAGAUAGAAUUCUCUAUAUAGAACAAUUUCUUUCUUAGGCUUGUAGACUAAUUAAACAGGAGUGGCAACUUCAUGAACAUAACCACCUUAUGAGUUUUAUUGUCACAUGUUCCAUGCCAGACAGACUUGCAACUAAAAACAUUCAUCUUCUUUAUUUCUGAAUAAACAACAAUCAUGUACAUACGUUUAAUGCUUUCAAACUCAAACAAUCAAAAUCACUUCCUUGAGUGGGAAAAUAAAAUACCAGUGAGGUCGAGACUUGGGGGAAUUACACGACGGCUGCUGAUGGAGCCUUCCCCAAUGUGUUCCACAAUAUAUAAUCCCCUGAAGUCACCUGUUCAUGUACAUAUCAUGUAGAGCCUUUAGAGUUUUACCAAUCCAGUUCAAACAUCGCCUGGGAACUUUAAAUUUUAGCAGUGUCUUACCUGAGCAGAAAACUCAACCGGUGACUUUGUGGUUGGGUAGAUAUUGACCUAACAAAACAAAGGGAGGCAACAAUAAGUCGAUAAUAUGGGCUACCACUGUAAACUAAUCAUUCCAACUUGCAAAAGCUUACUGAUUUUGUGUCGAUUGACAUUCGAGAUACAGAUGCCCCGACAAUUUUGAACGAGACCUGUAAACCAGAAGAUAGAUUUGAACAAUAAACAAGUCCAAAAGAUUUCAAAAGGAAGCAAAAGACAUACAUACCUUGGCAUAAUCAUAGGCUUGCCAACAGAACGGUUCCUCCAACUCAACUGCUGGGAGAUCCUUGUUCAUUUUCUGCACCAAGAAGUCCUCCGCGUUCACCACAUUCUCAACGCUCUCAUCCUCACUCUCUUCAUCAUCCCCAUCCCCUCUUCUCCUACUCUGCAAUGGACUAAACUUGAUUGUCCCGGGGAAAGUAGCCUCAAGGCUUUUCCCAGAAAGACUACGUCCGCUUCCCAGAAUCCUCCACUCAACAGAGUGCUCUGUGGUUAAAACAGUCCCAGCUGAUGGAGUCCCAUCAAAUGCCACUAUCCGUCUCCGUGGAAAGGGCAUAGUAAUAGUGCAGAAUUCCAUUGACAGAGGAGCCCUGUAACCUUCCAUGAGGUGCACCUUGAAGAGGAAUGCACCCUCGUCUUCUGAAACCAUUGACAGCUGAUAGAACCCUUUCACUGGUGGUCCGAGUCCACAACCCGCCUGGUAUCGCAUGAGAACAAAGUUACCCAAGGGAGGCUGGAAAACAAUGUUCUGCUUGUCGAUCCCAUGUGCUGGAACUUGGGCACAUGGAUGGAAAGAUAUAGCUUCGAUGUGGGCUGUACUCAGCCCUGCCAGAGGAAACGACACAUCAGGCAGCCCUUCUAGCUCUGCCCGACAGUUUAUCUGUCCCGCAACAGAUACAUUAUCAGGAAUCUCAUCGCGGUCGUACAUUGCAGCGUUAACCGUCUCAUGAAUUGUGAACAAUAGCCUUUGCUUUCCUUUGUACAGGUAUGGCUUCCAUGCUGGUUGCUUUAGUUCUUGGGGAGGAGGAUCAGCAUAGGAAAAGCCAUUCGCUUUCAUAGCAAAUAUAUUAGACAAGCUGAGGUCCAAUGGAGUACCUGCAGAAGUGAUUAAAAGAUUCUAGGGUUUUAUAGCACAUCAAUCAGGAAACAAAUGGUCUAGCAGGUAACAGAAUAAACCAUAUAUGACAGAGAGAAAAUACUAACCAAACGGCAUAGCAGUAGCGAUAAAAUUUCUAAGCAAAUCUCUAUCCAGUAACCUCGACCCUGUUUUGGGAGCAUCUGAUGCUGUGGCUCCCGUCGUUGCAGCUCCAGACGGGGAAGAAGAUGCAAGCGGUGCAGCUACAGGUUUUGGCCUCGAUGAGAUACCAAUGCUUCCAGUUAUUGAAUCAAACAACCCACCAACUGAUGGAGACGCACUUACAACAACCUCAGGUUCCACAGUAUCACCAGAAACGAUGUCACCAAAUGCAUGAGCCACCAUGAAAGCCCUACAACAUGAGUGACAAGUGCAAUUCAAGGAGUUGAACAUCACUCUUAGACCUUGAGGAAGGAGAUGAAGAGCUAUAAGUACCCUGUAACGGAUGAAAUGUUAAGCAAGAGAGAUGACAAACUCAAAUCUUCACCAACAGCUGGUCCACAAUCAGAUCUCCUACAUAACUUGACGUAAUCUUUCAUCUCCUUUGGCUCAACCAAAGGCAAGACAAGGAUAGAGUAAAGGGCUUUAGUGUGCAGGGCAAUAGGCCAGAGAAUGUUCCUCUCGUUUUUAUCAGAUUCAUCAUCAUCAUCAUCUUCUUCGCUUAAGCAAAGGCUGAUAAUAUGACGAGUGAUGGGAUCAUCAACCCAAGAAUCCGAUCCUUUGGUGGAUUGAGCAACACGUAUACCAUAUCCACGAGUAGAGCCUUCCCUAAUUCGGAUUCGAAAUUCAAUUUUACAUUUCCAGAGAAUCUAAUUGAGCUACCAAGAGAAAAGUGUUGUACCGUCUCUUUCUUCGAGUAAAAGCGUUGGAGAUUUGCUGAUCAGUGGGAAGUCUAGGAGUGUUUUCGUUUUCCGACUUGUAAACGGAGCACCAUUGCUUCUCGACGACCGGAAACCUCCUGAUUUGCAUAGAAAUUGAGAGUUAGAAAUUGGAAUGAGUGAGAUUGGGUUUAUAGAAGAAUUAGAAACCUGGAGAAAACAACAGCUUCUUGAUUGUUGAUGAUCCAGAGAGCUCUGAUACUGCAACCAGAGGGCAUAGUUGAAUUGAUGUUAACGGCGGUUCCGAUCACAGAGCCGUUCUGGUUGGUUUUGGGACGAUGACGAAGACGACGGAGUAUCUAAACGAUGAUGGGCUGAAUGUUUGGGCCUUCGUAAAUUUUAAUGGGCCAUUUGUUAUUCGACUAUGAAAGGUCCAAGAGUCCCCAAAUCUAAUGGCCCAACGGUCAAAAUCCUUCAACCUAAUUUUCAAAUUGCUUCUUCUAGGGGAUUGGUGCAGAGCUCUGAAUUGAGCUUAAUUACCAUAGAUAUACUUAAGACUAGUCAAUCGAAGUCGAGGAAGAAUCGUAUCCGACAAGUUCAUGGAGCCGCACAAACAGAGAAGAUGAAUAAGAAGGAUGUUGUGUUGUGAAUAUGAGUAGUGUAGAAUGAAUAGUCGUCGUCUGAUGAAUCAAUGAGGGGAACUCUUUGUUAUGUAUGAGUUGGUUAUGAAUGAACAAGUAUGCUCGUGUUGCUUCCGGUGAUUUUUCGGUGAUUUUCCGUUGAUAAAAGACAAGAAUGACAAUGUAUCAUCAUCAUCAUCAUCAGCUCCAAAAAAGACAACAAACGAGCAGGCAAAAUUAAAGCAAACCGUAGAAAAAGAGAACAAAAAUGGCUUAGAUGCUGCUAGAGUCACGGCCAAAGACAAAGCGUCGAGUCCAAUCAGAGAUGACGAGCAUCCUUGUGCGCCAGCUUACCAGUUUGCUGGCGUAGACAGAGUACCAGAGCCACUGGCUGCUGUGUCCAAUGGAGACCCAAUCUCCUGGCAGUUCUGCUGCUGUCUGUUCCCCUCCCAGCGGAGCAAACGAUCCAAAAUGUCUGUACCUGAAUGGUUGGAACCGAUGUCGACCCUCUCCUCUAAACCUCAAUGGUCCCUCUGGCUUCCUCUCACAUUUCUCCAUUUUGUUGAAGCACUUUGCGAGGUACUUCCCUUGUUGCGAUGCAACCUGUCAAGAAUCAAUACAUCAAAAUGAUCUGUGUGGAUUGAUUUCAUCUUGUUUUUAUCUAUAAGAAGCUUACCUGUGCAGUUGCUGGAAGGUUCUUCAUCUGUGAAUCAACCUCAGAGAGAGCUUGCUUAAAAUUCUCGAUGUUUACUUGUGUGUCCUCACCAUUUGCACUCUUGAGCAAGUGUGCAAUGUUCUUCAGCUUAUUCUUCUUUAAGUAGAGCUCCACCUGAGGGUACCUCUGGCAAAUGUCUUUAACCACACCAUUGAAAUCUUUCUUGUUUAAAGUUCCUGUGUUUCCCUUGUCUGCUUUGCUGAAAAUCGCAGCUAUAUCUUCCUGUUUGUUCAACAACAGACCAGUCAUCAUUUGUAAGAUAUAGACACAAUGAAAGGUAUAUAUAUGUGGUGUUAAAAUGAUGGGAUACCAUGACUCUGCGUUGGUUGAUCGUUGCAGUGUCACCUAAAGCAUAAACAUCCUCACAUCCCUCCACUCUAAGCCAUUCGUCAGUAGCCAAGACACGUCUCUGCCCCUGUAACCAUACUCAAUCUAGUGAGGUGGGACAUUAGCAAAUUAAUGAUUUCUUCAUGCGAUCAAGUGUUAUCUAACCUGACCAAUCUGCUGCAUAAAGUCUCUGAUGACAGGACGUGAACCAAUUCCUGUUGACCACACAACCAUACCAUAAGGUUCAGAGACAAUUUUGCCAGUUUCUCUUUCCUUUGUGGAUAUCUCAUCAGCAGUCACUCCCACAACCAUUGAACCUGUCUUCAGAUCUAUACCGUCUCUCUGGAACUUUUCCUCAGCAAAAGCAGUGAUUCUCUUGUCAAACCUGUGGGGGAAUUGCACCAACAUUAGAAAAGAAGCAGAUAUAGCCAAAGUUAUAGAAGCUUGAGUGGAACUUACAUGUUGAGGAUGUGGUCGCCUGCUUCGAGAAGAGUGAUUCUUGUGAACUCUUGGACCUUUGGGUAUAUCUUAGCCACAUCCUGGACUAAGAAAUCAUGAAGCUCUGCUGAGAACUCGACCCCAGUUGGUCCUCCACCAACCACAACGAAAUGCAGAAUCUUUUUCCUCUCUUCUUCAGUUAGAUUAGGAAGAGAGGCUCUCUCGAAACAGUCGAUGACCGAAUGACGGAUGUUUAGAGCAUCCUCUGCUUCUUUAAGGAAAUAGGCAUGUUCCUCAACUCCAGGGGUGUUGAAUGUGUUAGGCUUAGCUCCAACAGCUAUGACUAGAAUGUCAUAAUCCAUGUCAAACUCUGUUGUGCCCUUAAGACUUGACCCUUCCUUGGACCGGCAGUGGAGUUUCUUGUUCGAUGGAUCAAUCUUCACACACUCUGCUUCUUUGUACUCAAAUCCUUUCUUGCGCAUAAGACCACGAAUGGGUUCAACAAUGCUACGGGCUUCGACAGUACCAUUGGUAACACUUGGCAAGAGAGGAGUGAAUAGGAAAAAGUUACGAGGAGAGACAACUUGAACAUCAUAGUUAGGGUUGUUCAAGUAAUUCAAGAAGCUGUAGCCACUCCACCCACUGCCAAGAACGACCACCUUCUUCUUCCUUAUUGGUUGACCAUCUGAGUCAAGAGUAGCGUCUGCGUGUAAUACACGUUUCAAUGGAUUCGAGUCUGAAUACACCAGUACACCACCACCACUGCACAACAAUACAUAAAACCACAAAUAUCAGAGAGAGGAUGAUAUAUAAAGACACAAACCAAAAUAAAUGUGAAACCUACGUUACCAAAAAAAACAUAGAUCUGAGUCUUAAGAAUGUAUAAUGCAUAGGAGAGGCCAAAAAAGGACAAAACUUUCAGCGAAAAAAUCGGAUUCUUGCAUCGGAGAGGUCAAAAUAUAACUAAAUAUACUAAGAAAACAGUCAAAGAGUUAUAUAUAUAUUACACAGCUGAAGGAAGAAGAAGAAGUGUAGGAAUGGUGAAGCAGAUCUAAAGGAAAAGAAGGAGAGACCUGAAAGAGCUGAAAACAAGAAGCUUGGAAGCAGAAGGGUAAGCCUUGAACAAGCUAAAAGCUCUCUGGUAAAAGCUAUGGAAGCUCAUGAUGAUGAUUCGGCAAAUUUCUCAAACCUCAGAUCCAAAAGAAAGCUGAGAGCUUUAUUAGAGAAUUUGGAAGAGAGGCUGCGAAUGUGAGAGAAUAUGCAAAAUGGAAACUAUCAAAGCUACUUUAGGGUACGUGAGAGAGAAGGUCGGCGACACACUAAACAAAUUAUAAAAAGAAAAGACAGUGAGGUAUUUAGGAAAUUGGAGUAACGCCCAAGUAAAUUUAGGAAUAUGUCAUUUAUUAUAUUCUUAGUGUUAUUUAAAAUUAAAAAGUAAAUAAAGGGCAGAUUUUUUUAGGGUUUGACUUCUCUCAAAACUCGAGACUUUAAACGACAUUAUGUUCCGCGUUCACUGGAGAUUUUUUUUUUUUUUUAUUAGGAACUCGAACAACUGUUGGAUUCGAUUUUGAUUUGUAUUGUUGAUUAUUUUACGAUAUUAUUGGGUGAUAUCAAUCAAAACGAUUUAAAUGGCAAUUUGGUUUGAAAUGCACCUAUUAAAUGUAUUGGGUAAGAGAUUCGAAUCUUUUUGGUAACAUUUUAUACUUAUUAAAAAUGUAUGAUGACGUGUACGCUGAUGUGUCGCCUAUGUGGACACUCUAGAUGGAGAUAGAUGGAGAGAAAACUCUCUCAUUAUAUAUAUAGAUUUUUGAAUAAUGUUAAAGCUAAUAAAGAAGAAUGGAAUAUACCCAAUUGAAUUAAGAGAAAAUUAGAAAUAAAGGAUGUCUAAUAAAAAGUUUGACUAUAUACAUUUUUUUUGUCAAAAUGUUACUUUGUACUAAAAUACCCUUACACCCAAUUUUUAGUAGUUUUUAAAAAGUUAAACCAGGAAAACAUGUAGAUAUACAUGAAUAUAAAUGAUUUUUAUAAAACAGGUGAUUUAGUUGAAAAAAAAAUUGAUUUUUUACUAGAUAAAAUUUCGUCUAAUAUUAUUCUUAGAAUACGUUUUCUAGAGUUCUACGAUUGUUAGAUGAACUAUUCUAAACUUUUGAACAUGUUCUACGAUGUUUAGACUAGUUUUAUGUUCUAAAAUAUUUAGAAGUCCGAUUUACAAAUUUCUAAAAAGUUUUGAACAUGUAUUCUAAGCUUUCCUCUUUGUUUUAAUUUGUUUGAAAAUUCAUUCUACGAUUUACAUUAUGGUCUGAAAACGUUAGGACACAAAACGAUUUAAGUAUUUUUGGCGAAUUUAGUUUUAUUUUAUUUUUCUAAAAAACUUAGACUACUUUUUCUAAACUCUUUAGAUCGUAAUCUAAACAAACAAUAUACUAUAUAAAAAGUAAUAUUUAAUAAAUAUUUAGUUUCCGUUUAUACGAUUUUAAUUUGUGAAAUAUUUAGAAAUCCUAAAUAUUUUUUUUUGAAACGUAAUAUUUUUAAUUUAUAUUUUCAUCUUUAUCUAAGAUUCAUAUAUCAUGUUGUUUAUAAUUUUAUAUUUUUAAUUGAAGAGUAGAAUUUUUAGAUUAUUUUUUUUAAUUUCAAUGAAGAUUUAAACACCGUGCUUAUAAUUUUAGAUUUCAACAUAUAUCAUGAUUUAAUUUGUAAUUGUAUAUGUUUUUUCCAAUUUCUUUUUCCAACUAGAAUAUGUGAGGAUUUAAAUUAAAUUUUUAUAUUUUUAUUUAUUUUUGGUGAUAGUUUUAGUUUAUUUGUAGUAAUAUUAGAUUGCUUAGUAUAAUUUCUAUUUUAAUAUUUUAAUUAAAAAUUCAUAAAUCAUCGUGUUUAUUAUUUACUACUUUGUUUUUUAGUUGUGUCAAAUUAAUUUUUUAAUUUCUCAAUCUUUAUUGGUUUGUCAUAGAUUCAUAUGAUUAUUGUUUUUAUAAUCUUUGUUAUAACGACAUUCAACCAUUUCUAUUAGAUAUAUUUUUUACUCAAAAACAAAUUGAGUCAACAGUUUUAAUAGGUGAAAGACAUUAUGUAAAAGUGAAAAUGAAAAGAUAUUUAGGUUGUUUAAUGUGUUCAUAAAAACAUUUCGGAGGUGGUGGUUAUGGUGGUAAAGAGCAUGUCGGUGGUUUGUGGUAAAGUAGAUAGUGAAUUUGUAAAUAGUUGUAAAUACAAUAACUAUUUCACCGAUCGUCUGUACGUAAAUUUCCUUUGACAAAGUUUUGAAGUCUUAUUGUAUGCGAGAAUUGCAAAAUCACUUUUUGAGAUUUGAUAAUAAUAAUAAUGAUAAAUAUUUUAUUCAAAUUUUGGUGAUUGAUAACUUGAGAUUACUAAAUUAUUGUAGUAAUCAAACAUUACAACAAUUUACUUAUAUAACAAAAUUUUACCACAGUAAUUUAGUAAGUUUACGCACAUCAGACGGGAUCUAAUCUAGUUCUUUAUACCGUACAAAAUAAAAUAUGUUUUAUGUUCAAAACUUAAAAAAAAUGAAACAUCUCAUGGCGAUUAAUUAAUCAAUUAAUUCAAGAUAAAAUAUUAUUUCUAUUCAAAGAAAAAACAUCUUGUGCGGAUUAAAACCUUUGAUGUGCUAAAACCAUACGAGUUGAUUCGAGGGGUUCUUGAAGAAGUUCCAAAAGUGGGUAACAAACUUGACUUGGAUUUGUAUGGAUGAAGUUAUGGGUAAAAAAAGGGUAAAUAUGUCUUUUAACACUCACUCGAUAAAAAAAAAAAAAAGGAACUUAAUUCUCAUUUUUGCAGCGAAGAGAAAGAAGAUGGUCGGUUGAGCUAUUUUUGCUUCUCCCGACAAAAUUCUCAGAUCCGAAAACUUGCACCAUCUUUCAAUUAUAAGAUCUGGGUUUUACACAGCGCUACGAGUACUUACUAUGGGGAGGAGAGGAGGCGAUAGUUUCCGGAGAGCUGGACGGAGGAAGAUCUCAAAUGUGGUCUGGUGGGUUCUCUCUGGUAUUGCCCUCUUGCUCUUCUUUCUCAUUCUCUCCAAAGCUGGUCAUAUUGAACCUAGACCCUCUAUUCCUAAGGUAACAAUUCAAUCAAAGAUGUCUUCUUUUUUCGAUUUCAAUUGCUAAAUUCCAACCCUUUAAUCCUUCUUUUGUGCAGCGACGUUACCGUAAUGACAAAUUCUUAGAGGGUAUGAAUAUGACUGAGGAAAUGUUGAGUCCUACUUCCGUUGCUCGUCAAGUUAAUGAUCAGAUUGCUCUUGCUAAAGCUUUUGUUGUCAUUGCUAAAGAAAGUAAGAAUCUUCAGUUUGCUUGGGACUUAAGUGCUCAGAUCCGUAACUCUCAGUUGCUUUUGUCGAGUGCUGCUACUAGGAGAAGUCCUUUGACUGUGUUGGAAUCUGAGCCUACUAUUCGUGACAUGGCUGUUUUGUUAUACCAAGCUCAGCAGCUUCACUAUGAUAGUGCUACUAUGAUUAUGAGGCUCAAGGCCUCGAUUCAGGCUCUUGAAGAACAGAUGAGUUCUGUUAGCGAGAAGAGUUCCAAGUACGGACAGAUUGCUGCUGAGGAAGUGCCUAAGAGUCUUUACUGUCUUGGUGUUAGUCUCACUACCGAAUGGUUUCAGAACUUAGACUUACAGAGGAACCUUAAGGAAAGGAGUCGUGUUGAUUCGAAACUCACGGAUAACAGUCUCUACCAUUUCUGUGUGUUUUCUGAUAACAUUAUUGCUACUUCUGUUGUGGUUAAUUCCACUGCUCUCAAUUCCAAGGCCCCUGAGAAAGUCGUGUUUCAUCUUGUGACUAAUGAGAUCAACUAUGCUGCAAUGAAGGCUUGGUUCGCCAUUAAUAUGGACAACCUCAGAGGAGUCACUGUGGAGGUUCAGAAAUUCGAGGAUUUUUCAUGGCUGAAUGCUUCCUAUGUUCCGGUCCUCAAGCAGCUGCAAGACUCUGAUACACAAAGCUACUAUUUCUCUGGGCACAACGACGAUGGGCGCACUCCAAUCAAAUUCAGAAACCCCAAGUAUCUCUCGAUGCUAAACCAUCUCAGGUUCUACAUCCCUGAAGUGUUUCCUGCGCUGAAGAAGGUUGUCUUUCUUGAUGACGACGUUGUAGUUCAGAAGGAUCUUUCGCCUCUCUUUUCGAUCGAUUUAAACAAAAAUGUGAAUGGCGCUGUUGAGACGUGCAUGGAGACCUUCCACCGCUACCACAAGUACUUGAACUAUUCUCAUCCUCUCAUACGCUCCCAUUUUGAUCCAGAUGCGUGUGGGUGGGCGUUCGGAAUGAAUGUCUUUGAUUUAGUUGAAUGGAGGAAGAGAAAUGUGACCGGCAUAUACCACUACUGGCAAGAAAAAAACGUGGACCGGACCUUAUGGAAACUUGGCACACUACCUCCAGGACUUCUGACAUUUUACGGGUUAACAGAGGCACUAGAGGCGUCGUGGCAUAUCCUGGGAUUGGGAUACACGAAUGUGGAUGCUCGCAUGAUAGAGAAAGGAGCUGUUCUUCACUUCAAUGGGAACUUAAAGCCAUGGUUGAAGAUCGGGAUAGAGAAGUACAAACCUUUGUGGGAGAGAUACGUUGAUUACAGUUCUCCUUUUAUGCAACAAUGCAAUUUUCAUUGAUAUCUUAGGGUCCUUAGUUUUACUUCCACUUCUAGACAGCUAUAUCUUCCACAUUUGGUUACAGAGACACUUGCAAGAGUUUUGUAUGCUCGAGCACCAUCACUUACUGUAUCUUGUGAAUGUCAUAUUUAAAUUCAAUGAAGCAUGAGCAAUUCUCUUCAUAUUCAUAUUCAAAAAGAUAUUUUUAUGUUUCAAACUUCAACUGAAUAACAAUAAACCCUAUAAUGUUGGCAACUAACUCAUCUAUUUCAAAAGAUUGUUUCUUUUUUUGAAAGUUAAAAAUGAUUCUCUGUAUUAUCUUAUAAGAUUGACAAGCUUCCUUCUCUAUCUUUCUCUCAGGUAGCAGAGUAACAAUGAAGAGCUGUGAGCAUCUACUCAAACCAAGAAGAGGAAAGUCCCGCGAGUUAAGUUCACGUUUUCUCUCCUCUCCGUCUGCAUUUUCUUCUCCUAACCGCAGAAACUCCACUUCUAAUUCAUCUACCAAGAGAGAUGAUCAGAACAACAACGGUCUGAAAGUUCAUCUCGGCCUGAAAAAGCAUGAUAGGAUGUCAGAUGGCACACGGGUUUGUUUCGGGUUACCAAACCAAAGUAGCAUAGAAGUUGACUCAAAAGAAAAUCGUAGGCCUUCACCGUGGAUGGAUGAUGAGGAUCAUGUCAUACUUCCUGGCAGAUUUUCUGUUGAUGAAUGUACAUUGUACAGAGCAUCAUCAAGGAGAAACUCAUGCUCUCUACUAUAUGAGUCCUUAAAUGAUGAAUCAGAUUCAGAGUUGAGCGAUGUGUCCUGUGCUUCAAGUCUUAGUACAAAUCGUUCAUCCCGGAACCAUAAUCCUGGUAUCAAGGUCUCUUCUAAGUAUCUGCAUGAUUUAACAGCUAAACCGAGCAAAGGCAACAACAAUGUGACCAAAAUAAGGUCACAAGAAGAUUCACAGAGAGCUAAUAGCUUUAGGGGCAUUGAGAAUAGGAUGAAGAGGAAUAAUUCAGUGUCCAGGUAUGGAAGUUCGAUGUCUCAGUGGGCACUUUCACCAGGAAGGUCAUUGGACACCCAGGCAGUGACAGUUCCAAGUUCAAAACUGAAGCCUCCAAGAGGCAAAGGCGUGGGUAAACUAAUCAACCUUGGUUUCGAUUUCUUCAGCAGCAAGAACAAGUCAUCGCCCUUUACUUCACCACUAAAACCAAAGACAUGUGACACAGAAUCUGCUCAUCAGCUGAAGCUUAUGAAUAACCGGUUGCUUCAAUGGAGGUUUGUCAAUGCUAGAGCCUCUGCUGCAAGCAAUAUCGUAGCCUCCCAAGAAAAGGUAAUGAUUUUCUACUCCCUGCUACUGCGGUCAUCACUUCUUCUCAUGCUUGUCACUUUAUUGAGUUUCACAUAAUCCUGAGAUCUUUGCUUUCUUCAUCCUUUUGAGGCAUGAAAUCAAAUAAAAGGGAACACCUUUUGCAGAAUCAACUACUCUGUGCAUGGGAUACUCUUACCAAGUUAAAACAUUUGGUUCUGCAAGAGAGAAUCAAACUGCAGAAGAAAAACCUGGAGAUGAAGCUGAUUUAUGUGCUUCUUUCUCAAGUAAGUAUCAGGUCCAAACCCAUUUACUAAGUCCAAGCCAUGGAGGAUAUAAGCAAGUAUAAACCGGAUUGUUACGAAAUAUAUCUGAAACAGGUUAAGCAUCUUGAAGCUUGGGAGGACAUGGAAAGACAACACCUUUCAUCUCUAUCCAUGACCAGAGAUUCCCUGCAUUCUGUUCUUUCUAGGCUUCCCCUCAAAGAAGGUGCAAAGGUAAAUCAAAUCAUGCUCUUCUGCUAACUUUUUGAACUCAAAACAACUUUUUUUUCUUGUCUCUUUUAUUUUCCAACAACUCCUAAGGAUUCAGGUGAACUUGGAAUCAGCUGUCACUUUGUUUAAGAAUGCAGAAACAGUCACUGAUGCUAUCAUUUCAACUGUGAAUAUUUAUGCUCCCACGGUAGGUUUUUUCGGCUGUGCAAACAAAUGUGACAUGAUAAUCGUGUAUCUAAGCGGUUUAACAACCUAUAAUGUUCCAUUAGCAGAUGGAGAGUAUUGUUCCACUUGCUUCCCAACUAGCGGAAGUGGCCACACAAGAGAAACUGAUGCUGGAGCAAUGCCAUGACCUUUUGAGAAUGAUUUCCGAGUUAGAGGUACAAAGAUUGUGUGUGCAUGAACAUAUGAAUACCUGAUCUGAUAUGUUUCUGUUUUCUGAUCAUAUUUUGGGAUGUACACAGAUGCAGGAGAGGAGCUUGAAGUGUUGCUUCCUGAUUCAAAACAAACAGACUUUCGAUAUAAAACUUCGGUAAUACUAGGACUGUUGCUUCCCCUUGUCAAAGCUUUGCGUCUCUGGUUUUUUAAUAAAGGUUUGUAACUCAAGAUUCAAUUGACUUAUUUGCAGAGAAUUCCUUUGACAGGCUUAAAACAAAAAGCCCCUUAACUUUAAAUCUAUUAUGGAAUUUUCUCUGUACCCAAGUUUAAAGUGCUCAUUUAUCAGCUUUUUGUCAAGGCUUACAAGGGCUAAUUGUGCCGUCAGCUAGCUUUGAUUGCAAUAAGCAGAGUCAAGAAGCCAUGCGUAGUGUCCUCUCCCAUGAUUAAUUGCACAAAAAAAUAGAUUUGACCAAAGAGAGAUUGAGAGACAGCCUCGUGGACUUGUUAAAACUCAAUCAUGUCACGUUGCAUGAUAAGUUCUUCGUCCACUCGAAAAACAUUAUUGAUGCCAUGGACUUGGAUUUACGAGAAAAGAGAGUCAUGCACAAGUUCAAAACAGAGAGAGACUACAUAAACAUUAAGGACAUAAAACACUAGUUUCAAAGCUGAUGAUGAUUACUCCGCCAAAGCGUGGCCCAGUUAUUUUGAACGAUUUACGUAAUUUACCAAGAAAUAAUAAAAAUGGGAAAUCCAAAAGUCAUGAAAAAGAGGGAAAAAAAAAAAAAGAAAAUAGAGAGACGCUUUGUUCUAUUAUAUAAAGGAACCCUAAAGAAGUGGUAAAGCAAAGCAAAAUCUCAUUAGGUUUCAGUCUCAAAAGUCACUUCAGAAACCCUAAAUAUAUCGAUCCAUGUCUCAGAAACGUUUCAAUACGCCGAUGGCUUCUUCAAGCGACGAAGAUGAAGUGGAGACUCCAAUCAGAGAAGGUGAAGACUCUUCGUCGGAUGAAGAAGAUGAUGUUGUGUCCUCUAAAAACCCAUCAUCAGCCGUGAUGAAGAAGCCAGUCGUUGCCACGGAGAAGCAAGUUUCUGAUUCCGAAUCUGGAUCUGAAUCAGAUGAAGAAGAAACUGAUUCCGACUCCGAAGAACCCGUGAAGAAAGAUGAGGUUGUGACUAAGCCAGUGAAGCUUGUAACCGAAGCCAAAGAUUCUGUCUUGAAGAAGAAUCAAGAUUCCAAGAAGGUGAAAGAUUCUGAGAAAUCUGUUUCAAAGCGUUCUCGUGAAACCGAUGAAGCAGGAGCCUCUACUGAUGUGAAGAGGGUCAAGAAGGUUUCAGGGGAAGCAGAGCAAAAGAGUGGUGGAGGAGAAGAAACGAAGAAAGCUUAUUUCCAACGUGUUUGGACUGAAGAUGAUGAGAUUGCGGUUUUACAAGGUCUUAUUGAUUUCAGAAACGAUACUGGGGUAAGUCCUUAUGAUGAUACUAAUAGGGUUUAUGAGUUGUUGAAGAAAUCUAUUAGCUUUGAUGUCUCUAAGGUUCAGUUCAUGGAAAAACUUAGGAAUUUAAGGAAGAAGUAUGAGAACAAUCUUGUUAAAGCCAAGAGUGGUGAUGAACCUACGUUUGUAAAAACUCAUGAUCGCAAGGCUUUUGAAUUGUCUAAGUUUGUUUGGGGAGCUAUUGAAUCAGCUGUGAAAUCUAGUGGGAAGUCGAAGAAGAGUAGUAAGUCGAAGAAAGUUGAGUCUGUGAACCAUGAGCUUGAUUCUUCUUUGCCCAAUGGUAAGAACGAGGGUGCCGCGGAUCUGGAUACGUUUCCCAAGUCUUCUCUUGUAAGAUGGCUAGUGAGUUUUGGUUUUGAUGAAUUUUCUGCUCAACAAGGAUUGAGUUGCCUUGCCUCAGAGGAUAAGAAGAGAUUCGAGGAGAAGUGGAAAGCAUUGCAGGUUAGGGAAUUCGAGUUCUAUUCGCAGAAGAGCGGUUUUCUUCAUGAAGUGGUAGCAAAGAUGGCUGAAGCAUUUCCAUCAAAUGCUUAGAUAUAUAUGGAAUUCUCUUUUGUUUUUUUGGUUCUGCCUUUUUUGCCAUGAACUCCGGCUUUUUUCUCAUUUUAGUUUCUAUUGACUCUUGAAAAAGAGUUCAUUUUGUAAUAUUGCGGAUUUAUCAACUUAGUUUCUAUUGACUCUUGAAAAAGAGUUCAUUUUGGAGUAUUGCGGAUUUAUCAAUAUAAUUUUAGUUUCUAUUGACUCUUUGAUGUGUCAUAGCCUCAACUGUUUAUUAAUCUCAGUGGUAACUACCACUAAGAAGGGAUCAGGACAAUCAAAUUAUCGUGUAAGUGCCUUUUUUAUUCAUAUAUGUUUUAUCUUUCUUGUCCACUGAUCUCUGAUUUUAGUUAUCCCCGAUGGACUAGUAGUGAAGACGUUGCAUAUAAAUUGAUCUAUCGCUUACAUAUUUUCGAUUUCAGUUAUUAGUGCUUACUUGUGGCCAUUGAUACUUUUUUUCUGGUCUUAGAUAUGGUGUAAUGGUUUACUUACUUGCAAUGGCUGUUACAUUAUUCAUAUCAGUUUCUUGUUCAUUGGAUUGUUGUCUGUGAUUAGGUCUCGUAAUAAGAACAUUAAAAUGUAAAUUUAUGUGAGUCAAGCCAAGAAUCUGAAUUGUCUUUCAUUACAAGCUACGUUGUUGACAAUAACAAUCUUAAAGUUUUUUCUUGUUUUUGUAAGUUAUAGAACUUUGAAAGUGGAAAAUUCAAACCACUCUUCCUUGCAGCCUCGUGGACUUGUUGAAACUCAAUCAUGUCACGUUCGUCCUUGUCAGAUAUUCUCCCCACUUGUUGCAAGAUGAGUUCUUCGUCCCCUCUAGAAACAUUAUUGAUGCCGUGGACUUGGAUUACGAGAAAAUUAAAAGAGUGAUACACAAGUUCAAAACAGAGAGACUACAUGAACAUUAAAGACAUUAAACACUAAGCAAUACGAGGCAAAACAGACACUAUAUAUGAACAUAAACAAACUGUCAUCAAUAAAGACAAAGGUCAUGUAACAUCCCAAGUAACAAGACGAAACUAAACUACAACUGAAUUAAGAACAAACGCUUCCAUGAUGAUGAUCACGAAAACCCGUGAAACUACCGUCUUCUAGUCUAUUGAACAACGAGCGAGCACUCUUUAGAGAAACAUGAGGUUCUCAACCUGACCAGGGAAGAUAGAGAUUACACGACGGUUCAAAUGACUAUCCCACCGUAAAAGCUUUAGUUCCGUGAUUCCUUCUAUGAAGAAUCUUCUCACAGCAUUUUUCUUGGGAUCAUAAUAGAGAACAUAAAAUGGUGGUUCAUGAAACAUUGUUUCUGGUGCCAAAACAAACUCACCUGCAUCCGUGAGACAAAAGACUUGAAAAGAUGCAUGAUUCAGUGUUCCAACACGGCACAACAAAAACCUUAUUCGACCAUUCAUGUUUCGCAGCGUCCACUAGAACCCACAUAUCAAUUCUACAUGUAGAAAGUCCAGUAGAUUCAGAGCCCAUGAUAGCAAGCUUUCCUUCGUAGCGUGUCAGCUUUGUAAACAGAGCGGUUUCUGGUGUUUUUAUAAGAUGAAACUUUUCAGACCUAACAUCAAAACUCAUGACUGCUUUAUCUUCGUCGAGAAAAGCCGGAUAUGUGUCAAGAUAAGCUUCAUAGUAUAACACACCAUCAAUGCAUAGAUCAAGAGACUCAGGUGCGUGAGGAGGGAAAUCUUCAAUCAUCCUCCAAGAGCUCCCAUUUCCCAAUGUCAAAACCCGAAGGUCCUCAGCUAAACCACGUCGCCAACCAAUAUUCAUUCCUUUAGUCAUACACAAAACUUUGUAAUCACCAUGAAUGGGAUCAUAAUCUAAGUAGUGGUACAUAUCUCUCCUCUGAGAAUAAAUCUUGGGCAGAGUAAUAGAUCGUCUAGUGCUAGAGUUUAUGAUUAAGGAGGUCCAUGGCAAAUCCAUGAACAGAGGCAGAGAAAGUUGUGUACGGCGUAGGAAAGCAUUUCAUAUGGUAACUUGCUACAGAAGUUGAUGAUGAUUCACCUUGAUUUUGGGGUUGAAUCGAUUUUGCCAAAACCUUGUUGAGAAAAAGGAGAAGAAAUGAAGAUUAGAUAGGUUUUGCCUUAUUAUAUGCUAAGUCCACAUAAUAAAAAUUGAAUAAUUUUAACUCAUAGGUUUUAAAAUAUGUUUUCCUUUCAUUCAAAAUGCGCAUUUAUCACUAUUUUUAUAAUGAUUAUUUUUUUCCUUUGCUUGACACCAAAUAAAGUGUUCAACACGUUUUAGGGUUUGAUUGGCUGCAAAACAAGUAAUAACAUUUGGGGUUUAAUUUGGUUGACUGAGUCUGAAACACGUGUCCUCGACAAGCUAGCCCUAUGCACGACGUCAUACUACCUGAUGAUACAAAAGGUUAGCCCUAACCUACAUCCUUCUCAACCGUCCAAAAUUCACCUGUAAAUCUAUCUCACAAAGAUCAACGGUGAUUCUAGAGUACGACACUAAAGAGUAACAAUACAUAAUAGUACAAUUUUAGUACCAUCUGAAUGCAUUUUAUCUUCUCUCCUUAGCUUGAAGAAAUUACGUACAUGCAAAAUAAAAAUGGCUCCGAGUAUAUCAACCAUCAGAAAUUACUAUACUCACCAAGAGUACUCUGUAGAUUUCUUUGGAGAGGAAUUGAUCGUCAACGUAACGCGAACUCCAUCGGUAAUCAGAAAAUGGAUCAACAACGUCCACUUCUUCAACCGUUUUACCUCUCACCCUCUUGUUGUUGGACUCGGCGUCUAUUGGACACUGCCUGGUCACUACGCUGACCCUCCGCCUGAGAGUUACAAUCGUCCAGCGGAUACUCUUCAGUUAUGCGUUGGUACACGAUGUAUAAUCAUCCAGCUUUCUCACUGUGACCACGUCCCCUAUGCCCUCCACAACUUUCUCGCGAGUUACACGCACGUUGGUGUGUGGAAUAGUCAAGACGCGACAAAGCUAGAGCAGUGUAGACAUCAGUUGAAGAUUGGGAAACUUUUGGACAUAAGGAGGUUUGUUGAAGGUUCAAGAGGGAGCUUGAGGGGUUGUUCGUUUGAGGAGAUUUUUGAAGAAUGCAUGGGUUAUCGAGGAGUGAGGCUAGAUCCCGAGGUAAGCACGAGUGAUUGGAGCGUUUACGACCUUUGCGAAGAUCAGAUCCUUCAGGCGUCAAUAGAUGUGUAUGUUUGUUUCAAGCUCGGUGUUAGGGCUCGUCUAUGGGAAGUUUGAGAAAAUGUUUCAAAGGAAUCUUUCUUUUGUUAGGUUGUGAGGAAAAGAAACUGUUUUCCACUCGUUAAUUUAUUCCAUGCGUAAUAAGUAGUUGUAUCUUUUUUAUUUGUUUGGGCAACAAUAUCUUUCUUUUUUGUUGAUGAAGAUGUUGUAUAAUGUUAUUAAGGAAUGAUAGGAUUUGUAAAUGUUAUAACUAUAUCUUUGAUUACAAAAUUGAUGGAUUGAUUUAUCUCAAUUAAACACACUCAUCCUCUAUCUAAACCUGUAAUUCACCGGCUUGGAUUAUGUGCAAAAGAUUAUUGCUUCUAAUUAAAGGUGCAUAAACAUUACUUCUUCUAUACAUAAUCAAAUCCUUUUCUCUUUUGUAGCAAGUUCAGCAAUAUUUGCAUAUGUAUCCAAAUACAAUUUGGUGAGAUAAAUACUUAAAUUUCUGAUAAAUAAACAAGUGAAAGUUUUGACCAAAAAAUUAAAUAAAUUAAAGUGAAAGAUGAAACGAAGUCUUUCAAGACAAAUAUUUUUACAGUUUCUUUUUUUUUUUUGUCAAAACAUAUACAUGUCCAUUAACAUGAGGUACUCGCAAUUUGCAAAGAGUUAUACUAGAGAGAAGAAACGAAGAAUGGAUUAUAUAUGGUUUUGCUUUCUUAUAUAUUUCCACAUCAUUUAAAAUUUUAAACCAAAAUUAAUUGAAUAAUUUAAUUAACUCAUAAACUUUUAUAUGUAUGCUUGUCUUACAUUCAAAAUGCGUAUUUAUCAGUAUUGUUAUAAAUGAUGAGCUUUUUCAUUGCUUGACACCAAAUUAAGUGGUCACCCUCACCCACGUUAUAGGAUUUUAUUCGGUUGCAUAUUUUUUUUCUAAUAAGAACCGGAACCUGAAAUUAUCUGGGGUUGGGGUAACUAAAACGUGUGUCCUCGAGACAACCUAUACACGCAGUCCUACUACCUGAUGAUGCAAGGCUAGCCCUAACCUACAUGCAUCUCAACCGUCCAAAUCAUGAAUCUCUCUCACAAAUAUCAACAUUGAUUCUCAUUAAAGCAUUGUUUUUCUUCUUCUUAGAGCAUGAGCAAUGGAAUAAGUGCAAGGAUAUGUCUUAAAAGUGAUUAAUUAUUAAAAUAAUGUAAGACAAAAGUAUUGGCUUUAAAUGAGUAUAUGUAAAAUAAAAAGGUGAAGCGUAAUAAACAAAUUAUCUACGUUGUGGGAACGCGUGGGAACACGGAGCUAACAAAUUAUCCAAUCAAAACGCGCCCUUGUGGCGCUAACACUCUCCAAGAAAAGAGUGUAACUUAACACUCGGAUAUACAUAAAAGUGGACUAUUCUAAUUAUUUUGGAUUUUUAAAUUCUAACACCCAACCAAAAGAUGUACCGAUGUGUAUGGCCUUAGAGAAAGUACAUGCAAAAUCAAAUUGAAAUUACUCUCUCCUUCAUGUUUUACUUAUAACUUGAUUAGAUACUACUUAUAUAAGGCUUUUAAAGCCACACUUAAAUGCUAUUGCAAUUUAAGACUUUUACUCGGGAGUUUAUCAAGUAAAACGAAACCUCUUCACUUCAACCAAAAAGCCAAACCACAAAGAAAACUCUUCAUCUUCAUCAAAACUUGGAAUAUUGUGAAGACGACUCAAGCCCACAAGGUAUCAAAAACGUUUAAUUUCUUUUAUCAUUGCAUGAAGAUUUGUUUUGUAAGAAUCUUAAUCUCUGUUUGAUCUCAUGUGGGUAGCAAUAACCAAUGACAACGUUAAUCGACUCAUACGCUGCACAAUGUUGGAAGUGUCUCAAAGUGAGAUAUGUAGAGUCCCAAGAAAAAUACGAGGAUAUUCGAAGCGAAACACCGAAUAAGUCUUUUGAAUGCAGGAGCUGUGAAGAACCUGGAGAUGUGGAUAUGAACUUUGAUUCCCCUGCUGUGCGUUGGUUUCAAGAUCGACAUGGUAUACCCAAAACCCCUCAAGGGUUGAAGAGGAUUUUGGUUGUUCGACGAAGCGGCGAGAAAGCCGAUGUUUAUUACCAAACAGAAGCUCCUAAACGAAAGAGACUAAAGUGUUUCAAGGACGUCACUAAGUUUAUUGAAGACAAUGAACAAUUCAAAGACAUGAAGAUAGAAGAGGUUUCUUUUGCCGCACCCAAACGAAUGAAGAA